This 484-nucleotide ribosomal RNA is filed under the name uncultured bacterium. RNAcentral describes it as "partial 16S ribosomal RNA". It matches the Rfam family "Bacterial small subunit ribosomal RNA", at positions 29 to 507 of the family's 1533-position model. The record is from RNAcentral.
AUUGAACGCUGGCGGCAGGCCUAACACAUGCAAGUCGAGCGGAUGAGGGGGGCUUGCUCCUGGAUUCAGCGGCGGACGGGUGGGUAAUGCCUAGGUAUCUGCCUGGUAGCGGGGGAUAACGUCCGGUGAUGGGCGCUAAUACCGCAUACGUCCUGAGGGAGAAAGAGGGGGAUCUUCGGCCCUCACGCUAUCAGAUGAGCCUAGGUCGGAUUAGCUAGUUGGUGGGGUAAAGGCCUACCAAGGCGACGAUCCGUAACUGGUCUGAGAGGAUGAUCAGUCACACGGGAAGUGAGACACGGUCCAGACUCCUACGGGAGGCAGCAGUCGGGAAUAUUGGAGGAGGGGGGAAAGGCUGAUCCAGGCAUGCCGCGGGUAUGAAGAAGGUGUUCGGAUGGGAGAGCACUUUAAGUUGGGGGGAAGGGAAGUAAGUUAAUACGUGACUGUUUUGACGUUACCAGGAGAAGAAGCACCGGCUAACUUCGUG